This 1904-nucleotide long non-coding RNA is filed under the name Anneissia japonica. Its description in RNAcentral is "uncharacterized LOC117106157". Lineage: Eukaryota; Metazoa; Echinodermata; Crinoidea; Comatulida; Comatulidae. The record is from RNAcentral.
GCCCUGGCCCGGGAUUUAUCAAUCUCAGCUUAGCAAAUGUCUUAAGUCGAAAAAGUUAAGAAGUAGCUAAGCAAAAAUCUUAAGCUGAUUUAUCAAACCGUCUUAGCAAAAUCUUAGCAAAAAUAUCAUCUUAGAUGGCGCAUGCGUACAAUCGACUUCUUGUAGCUUAUAGAGGGCAGCAAAUUUUGUCUUAAGUCGAAAAAUAUUUGCUUACGCAUGCGUAAAAGCCAUUUUUGUGAUUUCAACCGGAAGUGAACUGUCAAAGGUUACGAGAGAUACAGUAAACAAACCAUGUAAGAAACUUAUGUGCUCGCCAUGCUGGAUGUUCGCUAGUGAAGAUUUUAUCGUUAUUCUUUCUUAUCUGUUUUAUAUGGAUGGUAAGACGUCUACUAUCACUGUCAGUUUAAUUUGGAUGAACUACAUACAGCUGUGAAAAGUUUGUGGCAUUAAAGGACUUUUACGAUUGAGAGUGCUGGCAGAGAGAAGAGGCGGCCAACAACGAGCAAGGCUAGAGAAAGGCCUGGCCUAGUUUGGUAGAGUGGUCUAGCUAGGCUAGAGCAUUAGCGAGAAAGCUUAGUUUAGCCUACUAGCUAGGCUAGGGGGCCUAGGCUACACCGCUAAUAUAGACCAAAAAAUCAGACGCGGUAACCGAAACAUCUAGGCCUACGACAACUACUAAUUUUUAAAAUGACAAUUGUUGUUUUUGACUUGAGAGAGAUUUCCAGAAAUUUACCCAUGAUGUGUCUACAGUGCAGCAAAACCAGGUUGCGAAAUGCAGUGGGCAAAGCUGAACUACUAUAAGUUCAGUACCUGUAAUAGCCAAUUCGUAGAGCAUUAUAGAAGCUUUCAGACCUACUGCAGAAUUCAAAACCAACACCUCAGACCCAGGGGCUAGUGACGUCCUCUUCUGCCAGCUUCAAGGAUUCAACCAUAUUUAAGUAUUCGAAGGAGCUCACUAUCGAAUAAUUAUUUGUUUAUACCUUGCAAUUUCAAAGCGCUGACGACAUCCGAAAAAAAUGCUUAUGAUACCAAUGAUAUUUGCAUGGUGUAAAGUAAUAAUAUACAUUUUAUAUAUUAGGUAAAUCACAAGACAUAAUUUCUCACAUUAAAUAUAUAUUGCUCUUUGCUGUGUAAAAGCACAUAUACAGUAGAUCUAUAUUUAUUGUUGUACCAAGUGUCUCAUGAAAUCUUCUCAUAUUCAUUCCAAAAGCAAUAAGCUACCAAUUAUCAGUACAAUAGAUAUAAAAUUGUGAAGAAAAGUGUAAUAAACGCUAAUGAUUGUAAUAAUGAAUGGUUUUUGGAGUCCUUUAUUUGUUAUGAAUUGUAUUUUUUCAUAUUUUAAAACAACUGUGGUUCAUAUGGUGGGUAGCAUAAAUUUAAUUAUUUUUGUUUUUACUGUUAUAGUAUGUUGUACAUUAUAAUUGUGUUAAAUUUUUCAAUCAAGUGUGGGCAGUGUAGUUGUUAUUAGACAAAAAGCCAAUUCCUAAUAAAAGCUGAAUUUUGCUAAAUAUAUAUUUUAUAAACCAUAAAGCUGAUGGAAUUGAAACUUUUGCUGCUUAUAUUCAUUGUUUUGGCAAGUCAAAUUUCUGUUUUGCUAAUUAAUGUCAUACCAAAUUAGCUAAAUUGUGAAACAAAAUCUCCACUAAAUAAUAUGAACGAAUGGUGCUGUGUGUAGGCCAAAACUAUCAUAACUAUUAUUAUUAUUAAUAGUUUUAUUAUUACUAUACUAAUAUUAUUAUUAUUAUUAUCACUAUUAGUAAAUUGUCUUAUGCUUUUUUCACUUUGUUGUAUUUGUUGCUAUUGCUAUUGUUAUUGCUGUUGCUGUUGCUGUUGUUAUUGUUGUUAUUGUUGCUGCUGUUGUUGUUGUUGUUGUUGUUAUUGUUGCUGCUGUUGUUGUUAUUGUU